Armigeres subalbatus is the source of this 500-nucleotide long non-coding RNA. RefSeq lists it as uncharacterized. The transcript is spliced from 3 exons. The record is from RefSeq and is a predicted model, not a curated record. NCBI's taxonomy places the organism in Eukaryota, Metazoa, Arthropoda, Insecta, Diptera, Culicidae.
ACGCUUUUUAUAUCGAAGUUGGAUUUUUCUCUAGAUACAGAUCCAGAUUCAGAUUUUCUCCCAACUUCGGAAGUAGUGCCCUGGAUUCGACUAAAGAUGCGCUAAACAACACAUCAAUUAGUUUGACAGAUGAAAUUUCGGAAGAAAGUUCGGUUCGGAAGUCCCGACUUCCGAAUUCUAAGUUGAUGCUACGCCGACAAUACUGAUUCUGCGAGCAAGAACGGCCGAUCAUUUCCCGCUGUACCGUGAAAUUGAAUUAAAAAUAUAUUAACCAUCACUGAUGAUUCAAUAUCGUUCGGCGACUAUCAUCGAGCUAUAUCACCAACGGGAUACAAUAAAAAAUUAAACAGGAAAAAAAAUGCGAGCAGCAUUAGUUACAGCGGCUUCAGUGAGUAUAGCCGGUUGCAUCAUUGGCGACUGAAAUCUACGUUUAUGAAUCCCGGUCUGAAUAGCAGUUAACGCACUUAACAAUACCACUAAUAAUUUUAAUUUUAAUUCGA